GACAGAGGAUGCAAGCGUUAUCCGGAAUGAUUGGGCGUAAAGCGUCUGUAGGUGGCUUUUUAAGUCUGCCGUCAAAUCCCAGGGCUUAACCCUGGACAGGCGGUGGAAACUACCAAGCUGGAGUACGGUAGGGGCAGAGGGAAUUUCCGGUGGAGCGGUGAAAUGCGCAGAUAUCAGGAAGAACACCCGUGGCGAAGGCGGUUCUCUGGGACGGUACUGACGCUGAGACGCGAAAGCGUGGGGAGCGAAUGGG
This 253-nucleotide ribosomal RNA is filed under the name uncultured bacterium. RNAcentral's name for it is "partial 16S ribosomal RNA". It matches the Rfam family "Bacterial small subunit ribosomal RNA", at positions 524 to 776 of the family's 1533-position model. The record is from RNAcentral.